This 845-nucleotide ribosomal RNA is filed under the name Monacha obstructa. RNAcentral describes it as "partial 16S ribosomal RNA". The stretch from base 380 to 536 matches the Rfam family "Archaeal large subunit ribosomal RNA", at positions 1883 to 2090 of the family's 2987-position model. Lineage: Eukaryota; Metazoa; Mollusca; Gastropoda; Stylommatophora; Hygromiidae. The record is from RNAcentral.
GUAUUCUAAAAUUUAAUAGAAUUUAGGUUCACGAAACUAGUCGAGUUAAGUUUAUUAUAAUAUUAGUGAUCUAAAGUAACGUAGUAAUGUUAUUUUAUUAAAUAAACUUAGGGGUGAUAGGCCUUUCAAGUCUGGUGAUAUCUUGAUAUUUAGGAAAUAUAUAUAGUAUAAAAUUCAAUAUAAAAAUGGUGAGGUUUUUAUAUAUCAUAAUAAUAGUUUAAUAAUGUUUGGUUGUAGUAAAAUACCCUAAUUGCAUUAGGUUAAUAUUUAAUACUUUAAGAAUAUGAAAUUUACUAGAUUAUUUACAUUAAUGAAAAUUUAUAUUAAAAAUGACUACAUUAGUAUUCUCUUAUAUAUUAUUAAGGAACUCGGCAACUAUAAUUCUCGACUGUUUAUCAAAAACAUAGCUUUAAGUAUAUAUUUAAAGUUCAACCUGCUCAAUGAUUUUUAAAUAGCCGCAGUACCUUGACUGUGCAAAGGUAGCAUAAUCAAUUGGCUUAUAAUUGAAGUCUAGUAUGAAUGGGAAUCCGGGAAUUAGCUGUCUUAAAUAUAUAUCUAGAAUUUACUAAAUAAGUGAAAAUUCUUAUAUUUCGAAAAAAGACGAGAAGACCCUAGAAAUUUUAUUAAUUUUAAUAUAUAAAUUUUGUUGGGGCGACAAAGUAACAAUUAACUUACUUUAAUAAUAGGGAACUAUUUAGUAGUAAAACUAAAUUACUCUAGGGAUAACAGCAUAAUAUUUUAAAGUUUGUGACCUCGAUGUUGGACUAGGGAAUAUAAUACCUAAAAGGUAUUAUUUUAGGCUCUGUUCGAGCUAUUUUCUCCUACAUGAUCUGAGUUCAGACCGG